This 465-nucleotide ribosomal RNA is filed under the name uncultured bacterium. RNAcentral's name for it is "partial 16S ribosomal RNA". It matches the Rfam family "Bacterial small subunit ribosomal RNA", at positions 28 to 507 of the family's 1533-position model. The record is from RNAcentral.
GACGAACGCUGGCGGCGUGCUUAACACAUGCAAGUCGAACGGAAAGGCCCCUUUGGGGGUCCUCGAGUGGCGAACGGGUGAGUAACACGUGAGUAACCUGCCCUUGACUUCGGGAUAACUUCAGGAAACUGGGGCUAAUACCGGAUAGGAAUCCUUGCUGCAUGGUGGGGGUUGGAAAGCUUCGGCGGUUUUGGAUGGACUCGCGGCUUAUCAGCUUGUUGGUGGGGUAGUGGCUUACCAAGGCUUUGACGGGUAGCCGGCCUGAGAGGGCGACCGGCCACAUUGGGACUGAGUUACGGCCCAGACUCCUACGGGAGGCAGCAGUGGGGAAUAUUGCACAAUGGGCGGAAGCCUGAUGCAGCAACGCCGCGUGCGGGAUGACGGCCUUCGGGUUGUAAACCGCUUUCAGCAGGGGCGAAGCUUGUGGUGACGGUACCUGCAGAAGAAGCACCGGCUAACUACGUG